UUAUAAAUAGUUUAAAUAAAACCUUACUUUUUCGUAGUAAUAAUAAAUAACAAUUAUUUUUUA
This 63-nucleotide transfer RNA is filed under the name Lepidostoma inops. Its description in RNAcentral is "tRNA-Glu". The record is from RNAcentral. Lineage: Eukaryota; Metazoa; Arthropoda; Insecta; Trichoptera; Lepidostomatidae.